Molecule: non-coding RNA, 23 nt
Filed under: Cricetulus griseus (Chinese hamster)
Lineage: Eukaryota; Metazoa; Chordata; Mammalia; Rodentia; Cricetidae
Source: RNAcentral
CUGUAGAAGACAUCACUGAACGG